This 1370-nucleotide ribosomal RNA is filed under the name Chryseobacterium indologenes. RNAcentral describes it as "bacterial SSU rRNA". It matches the Rfam family "Bacterial small subunit ribosomal RNA", at positions 61 to 1439 of the family's 1533-position model. The record is from RNAcentral. Lineage: Bacteria; Pseudomonadati; Bacteroidota; Flavobacteriia; Flavobacteriales; Weeksellaceae.
GCCGAGCGGUAGAGAUUCUUCGGAAUCUUGAGAGCGGCGUACGGGUGCGGAACACGUGUGCAACCUGCCUUUAUCUGGGGGAUAGCCUUUCGAAAGGAAGAUUAAUACCCCAUAAUAUACUGGAUGGCAUCAUUCGGUAUUGAAAACUCCGGUGGAUAGAGAUGGGCACGCGCAAGAUUAGAUAGUUGGUGAGGUAACGGCUCACCAAGUCUGCGAUCUUUAGGGGGCCUGAGAGGGUGAUCCCCCACACUGGUACUGAGACACGGACCAGACUCCUACGGGAGGCAGCAGUGAGGAAUAUUGGACAAUGGGUGAGAGCCUGAUCCAGCCAUCCCGCGUGAAGGACGACGGCCCUAUGGGUUGUAAACUUCUUUUGUAUAGGGAUAAACCUACCCUCGUGAGGGUAGCUGAAGGUACUAUACGAAUAAGCACCGGCUAACUCCGUGCCAGCAGCCGCGGUAAUACGGAGGGUGCAAGCGUUAUCCGGAUUUAUUGGGUUUAAAGGGUCCGUAGGCGGAUCUGUAAGUCAGUGGUGAAAUCUCACAGCUUAACUGUGAAACUGCCAUUGAUACUGCAGGUCUUGAGUGUUGUUGAAGUAGCUGGAAUAAGUAGUGUAGCGGUGAAAUGCAUAGAUAUUACUUAGAACACCAAUUGCGAAGGCAGGUUACUAAGCAACAACUGACGCUGAUGGACGAAAGCGUGGGGAGCGAACAGGAUUAGAUACCCUGGUAGUCCACGCCGUAAACGAUGCUAACUCGUUUUUGGAGCGCAAGCUUCAGAGACUAAGCGAAAGUGAUAAGUUAGCCACCUGGGGAGUACGAACGCAAGUUUGAAACUCAAAGGAAUUGACGGGGGCCCGCACAAGCGGUGGAUUAUGUGGUUUAAUUCGAUGAUACGCGAGGAACCUUACCAAGGCUUAAAUGGGAAAUGACAGGUUUAGAAAUAGACUUUUCUUCGGACAUUUUUCAAGGUGCUGCAUGGUUGUCGUCAGCUCGUGCCGUGAGGUGUUAGGUUAAGUCCUGCAACGAGCGCAACCCCUGUCACUAGUUGCCAUCAUUAAGUUGGGGACUCUAGUGAGACUGCCUACGCAAGUAGAGAGGAAGGUGGGGAUGACGUCAAAUCAUCACGGCCCUUACGCCUUGGGCCACACACGUAAUACAAUGGCCGGUACAGAGGGCAGCUACACUGCGAAGUGAUGCAAAUCUCGAAAGCCGGUCUCAGUUCGGAUUGGAGUCUGCAACUCGACUCUAUGAAGCUGGAAUCGCUAGUAAUCGCGCAUCAGCCAUGGCGCGGUGAAUACGUUCCCGGGCCUUGUACACACCGCCCGUCAAGCCAUGGAAGUCUGGGGUACCUGAAGUCGGUGACCGUAA